GGGAGGUAGUGACAAUAAAUAACAAUACGGGGUUCUUUAGGAUUUCGUAAUUGGAAUGAGUACAAUUUAAAUCUCUUAACGAGGAACAAUUGGAGGGCAAGUCUGGUGCCAGCAGCCGCGGUAAUUCCAGCUCCAAUAGCGUAUAUUAAAGUUGUUGCAGUUAAAAAGCUCGUAGUUGAAUUUCGGGAUCAGUAUGUUGGUCGUGCUUCGGUACGUACUGUCAUUACUGGUUUCUCCCUUCUGAAGAACCUUGAUGUCAUUAAUUUGGCGCCUUGGGGAAUCAGGACUGUUACUUUGAAAAAAUUAGAGUGUUUAAAGCAGGCUAACGCUUGAAUACAUUAGCAUGGAAUAAUGAAAUAGGACGUUCGAUCUUAUUUUGUUGGUUUCUAAGAUUGACGUAAUGAUUAAUAGGGAUAGUUGGG
RNAcentral lists this ribosomal RNA (422 nucleotides) under uncultured Glomeraceae. Its description in RNAcentral is "SSU rRNA". It matches the Rfam family "Eukaryotic small subunit ribosomal RNA", at positions 459 to 886 of the family's 1831-position model. The record is from RNAcentral. Lineage: Eukaryota; Fungi; Glomeromycota; Glomeromycetes; Glomerales; Glomeraceae.